GAAGAGACUUUGGUUCAUCCCCUUUAGGGGAACUAAAGAAGACGAAGAAAACGAAGAAGAGACUNUGGGGUGUGUUCUUCCCCUUUAGGGGAACCCCUGCGUCUCCCCGAAGGGUAACACUUCUUCCCCUAAAGGGGAAGAAGAAGAGACUUUGGUUCCCCUUCUUCCCCUAAAGGGGAAGAAAACGAAGGGGAAGACUUUGGUUCAUCCCCUUUAGUUCUUCCCCUAAAGGGGAACUUUAGGGGAUGAACCAAAGAAGACAACCCUAAAGAAGACAACCCUAAAGAAGACAACCCUAAAGAAGACAACCCUAAAGAAGACAACACUAAAGAAGACAACACUAAAGAAGACAACCCUAAAGAAGACAACCCUAAAGAAGACAACCCUAAAGAAGACAACCCUUUAGGGGAUGAAGAAGAAGAACAAGAAGGGGGACAAGAACGUCGGCCGUACUUAUAGCGGUUGAAGCGAAAAGUCAACCUUGUACCCUUCGGGGAAGGUGCUUCACUUGUUGUCUAAAAGUAACACGUGGGCUUGCUCAUUGCGAAAGUAGGUGCACUGACCUAGACAGAGCCUACGCUGUACCUACGUUGGGACAACUAGAACUGUUUCGUUAAUUUGUUACACACCUUUAGGUGACUCGACAUGACAGAUAGGAAGUCCGAAGCUUCAAGUGCGAUGUACGUUGCCUAGGAUGUUUCUCACCAUACUAGUAUGGUGAGAAACAACCAAGGUGCGCUGCACCGGCUUUCGGAUUUAAGCCAUUAGCUGCGUCUGGUCUAUGGCUAGAUAGUUACCAAUAUAAAAU
RNAcentral lists this long non-coding RNA (808 nucleotides) under Volvox carteri. RNAcentral's name for it is "long non-coding RNA (VCAR_LNC004362)". The record is from RNAcentral. Lineage: Eukaryota; Viridiplantae; Chlorophyta; Chlorophyceae; Chlamydomonadales; Volvocaceae.